This 253-nucleotide ribosomal RNA is filed under the name uncultured bacterium. RNAcentral's name for it is "partial 16S ribosomal RNA". It matches the Rfam family "Bacterial small subunit ribosomal RNA", at positions 524 to 776 of the family's 1533-position model. The record is from RNAcentral.
UACGUAGGGGGCAAGCGUUGUCCGGAAUCAUUGGGCGUAAAGAGCGUGUAGGCGGCCUGAUAAGUCGGCUGUGAAAGUCAAGGGCUCAACCCUUGAAUGCCGGCCGAUACUGUCAGGCUAGAGUCCGGAAGAGGCGAGUGGAAUUCCUGGUGUAGCGGUGAAAUGCGCAGAUAUCAGGAGGAACACCUAUGGCGAAGGCAGCUCGCUGGGACGGUACUGACGCUGAGACGCGAAAGCGUGGGGGGCGAACAGG